GGGGCUGUGGCGCAGCUGGGAGCGCGUCUCAAUGGCAUUGAGAAGGUCAGGGGUUCGAAUCCCCUCAGCUCCA
This 73-nucleotide transfer RNA is filed under the name Chloroflexi bacterium B3_Chlor. RNAcentral's name for it is "tRNA-Ala". It matches the Rfam family "tRNA". From Rfam's summary of the family: Transfer RNA (tRNA) molecules are approximately 80 nucleotides in length. Their secondary structure includes four short double-helical elements and three loops (D, anti-codon, and T loops). Further hydrogen bonds mediate the characteristic L-shaped molecular structure. tRNAs have two regions of fundamental functional importance: the anti-codon, which is responsible for specific mRNA codon recognition, and the 3' end, to which the tRNAs corresponding amino acid is attached (by aminoacyl-tRNA synthetases). tRNAs cope with the degeneracy of the genetic code in two manners: having more than one tRNA (with a specific anti-codon) for a particular amino acid; and 'wobble' base-pairing, i.e. permitting non-standard base-pairing at the 3rd anti-codon position. RNAcentral also lists the same sequence under 2 other names. Lineage: Bacteria; Bacillati; Chloroflexota. The record is from RNAcentral.